This 429-nucleotide ribosomal RNA is filed under the name Chloroflexota bacterium. Its description in RNAcentral is "Chloroflexi bacterium partial 16S ribosomal RNA". It matches the Rfam family "Bacterial small subunit ribosomal RNA", at positions 355 to 776 of the family's 1533-position model. The record is from RNAcentral. Lineage: Bacteria; Bacillati; Chloroflexota.
UGGGGAAUAUUGCACAAUGGGCGCAAGCCUGAUGCAGCCAUGCCGCGUGUAUGAAGAAGGCCUUCGGGUUGUAAAGUACUUUCAGCGGGGAGGAAGGGAGUAAAGUUAACACCUUUGCUCAUUGACGUUACCCGCAGAAGAAGCACCGGCUAACUCCGUGCCAGCAGCCGCGGUAAUACGGAGGGUGCAAGCGUUAAUCGGAAUUACUGGGCGUAAAGCGCACGCAGGCGGUUUGUUAAGUCAGAUGUGAAAUCCCCGGGCUCAACCUGGGAACUGCAUCUGAUACUGGCAAGCUUGAGUCUCGUAGAGGGGGGUAGAAUUCCAGGUGUAGCGGUGAAAUGCGUAGAGAUCUGGAGGAAUACCGGUGGCGAAGGCGGCCCCCUGGACAAAGACUGACGCUCAGGUGCGAAAGCGUGGGGAGCAAACAGG